Molecule: ribosomal RNA, 497 nt
Filed under: uncultured Glomeromycotina
Lineage: Eukaryota; Fungi; Glomeromycota
Description: partial small subunit ribosomal RNA
Rfam family: Eukaryotic small subunit ribosomal RNA
Source: RNAcentral
CCAAUAGCGUAUAUUAAAGUUGUUGCAGUUAAAAAGCUCGUAGUUGAAUUUCAGGCCUGGCUGGACGGUCCGCCCUUCGGGUGAGUACUGUCUGUGGUCGGGUCCUACCUUCUGGCGAAGCGUCAUGGCCUUAACCGGCCGUGGCGGGGAACCAGGACUUUUACUGUGAAAAAAUUAGAGUGUUCAAAGCAGGCAAUCGCUUGGAUACAUUAGCAUGGAAUAAUGGAAUAGGACAAUGGUUCUAUUUGUUGGUUUCUAGGACCGUUGUAAUGAUUAAUAGGGAUAGUUGGUGGCAUUAGUAUUCAAUUGUCAGAGGUGAAAUUCUUGGAUUUAUUGAAGAAUAACUACUGCGAAAGCAUUUGCCAAGGAUGUUUUCAUUAAUCAAGAACGAGAGUUAGGGGAUCGAAGACGAUCAGAUACCGUCGUAGUCUUAACCAUAAACUAUGCCGACUAGGAAUCGGGCGAUGUUGAAAAAAUGACGCGCUCGGCACCUCAUG